This is a non-coding RNA of Vicugna pacos (alpaca), 691 nucleotides long. The record is from RefSeq and is a predicted model, not a curated record. NCBI's taxonomy places the organism in Eukaryota, Metazoa, Chordata, Mammalia, Artiodactyla, Camelidae.
GGAGCACACCGAGCUGGGAUGAGUAUUUUAUACUCGUAACUGUGCUGAACGUAAGUCAUCAAUAAUUGCAAGAGUUGAAGAAACUCAAAAAUUAUUUUGAAUUCGUGGCAUUGUGUGCGCAGCUGUUUGCAGUCCUCCCAGCUGGACCGCGACCUUCCAGGGCCGGACUCCCUUUUUAUCCCUGGGCCUGAAACAUAAGCUCUCAAGUGUUUGACAAGUGAAUAGACAACACCGUGCUGUGUUGGUAGAAGACACGAGGGUGAAUAUGGCGUUCCCCAUCGAGGAAAACAAAUGAGGAGUAAGGUAAGAAUGCAGAAAAGUUUAAUAUUUAAAAAAAAUUAGAAAUAAACAGGAGGUUCCUGGUAAGGGUUUCAGGGAGAAGAAGCAUUUGAGCUGGGUCCUGGCAGGUGGAGGGCCUCAGGAGGAGAGGAGGGAGGCCGUGCAGCUGUGUCUCAUGGGUGUGUCACUGAGCGCACCUGUCCUGGGUCGCAGGCGGGCAGGACACGGGGCCGGAAAGGUCGAUCAGAGGAGCCCUUAUUACCAAAGGAAGGCUCUUUUCUCUGUGAUUUGAUGAUCUUCAGUGUAAGAUACGUACAAAUAAAAUCCACUAACCUGUUCAUAAGAAAUGUACUUUCCUCUUCUACAAAAUACAGUAAUAAUCAUUGCUCCCAUCAUGUGUUUGUCGUGCUAA